UACAGAGGUCCCAAGCGUUGUUCGGAUUUACUGGGCGUAAAGGGUGCGUAGGUGGCGAGGUAAGUUCGAUGUGAAAUCUCCGAGCUCAACUCGGAAAUGGCAUUGAAUACUAUCCCGCUUGAGGGUCGGAGGGGAGACUGGAAUUCUCGGUGUAGCAGUGAAAUGCGUAGAUAUCGAGAGGAACACCAGUGGCGAAGGCGAGUCUCUGGACGACUCCUGACACUGAGACGCGAAAGCGUGGGGAGCAAACAGG
RNAcentral lists this ribosomal RNA (253 nucleotides) under uncultured bacterium. RNAcentral's name for it is "partial 16S ribosomal RNA". It matches the Rfam family "Bacterial small subunit ribosomal RNA", at positions 524 to 776 of the family's 1533-position model. The record is from RNAcentral.